UACAGAGGGUGCGAGCGUUAAUCGGAAUUACUGGGCGUAAAGCGUGCGUAGACGGCUAUCUAAGUCGGGUGUGAAAGCCCCGGACUCAACCUGGGAAUUGCAUUCGAGACUGAGUAGCUAGGGUGCGGUAGAGGGAAGCGGAAUUUCCGGUGUAGCGGUGAAAUGCGUAGAUAUCGGAAGGAACAUCAGUGGCGAAAGCGGCUUCCUGGACCAGCACCGACGUUCAGGCACGAAAGCGUGGGGAGCAAACAGG
This 253-nucleotide ribosomal RNA is filed under the name uncultured bacterium. RNAcentral's name for it is "partial 16S ribosomal RNA". It matches the Rfam family "Bacterial small subunit ribosomal RNA", at positions 524 to 776 of the family's 1533-position model. The record is from RNAcentral.